This is a long non-coding RNA of Amblyraja radiata (thorny skate), 73 nucleotides long. RefSeq lists it as uncharacterized. The transcript has 3 exons. The record is from RefSeq and is a predicted model, not a curated record. Lineage: Eukaryota; Metazoa; Chordata; Chondrichthyes; Rajiformes; Rajidae.
UGCCAGCGAGUGCUGAGCUCAUUGGCAUGUAUUAGCUCAAGAAUUACCACAGUUACAAGUAUGUCAGACUCAA